Molecule: long non-coding RNA, 298 nt
Filed under: Coturnix japonica (Japanese quail)
Lineage: Eukaryota; Metazoa; Chordata; Aves; Galliformes; Phasianidae
Description: lncRNA (ENSCJPG00005014411.1)
Source: RNAcentral
AUUGCUUGUGAGCAGUUAAACCUCAGAGAGUCCCACAAGAAGCUGUGCCUUGGCACCUGAGAGCUGAGAUAGUGGCUCACAGCAGCACCAACCUAAGGCACAAGACUGAAAACGAUUCCUGUUCAGAGCAGCCAGGAACACGAUGUGGGUUUUCAGAUUUCCUUUAAGCAGAUGAGAGCACAAAGCUGAAGUGAGCAGCCUGGGCUGGUGCUGCAGGUAAGUGUUAGAGCUCACUCAGUGGACUGUGGGCAGAACUCUUGGCUCCCUUGUGCUUACCUUAGAAGUCUUCAAACAGUAA